RNAcentral lists this ribosomal RNA (253 nucleotides) under uncultured bacterium. RNAcentral describes it as "partial 16S ribosomal RNA". It matches the Rfam family "Bacterial small subunit ribosomal RNA", at positions 524 to 776 of the family's 1533-position model. The record is from RNAcentral.
UACAUGGGGUGCAAACGUUGCUCGGAAUUAUUGGGCGUAAAGCGCGCGUAGGCGGUUACUUAAGUCGGAUGUGAAAGCCCUCGGCUUAACUGAGGAAGUGCACCCGAAACUGAGUAGCUAGAGUACGAAAGAGGGUCGCGGAAUUCCCGGUGUAGAGGUGAAAUUCGUAGAUAUCGGGAGGAACACCAGUGGCGAAGGCGGAGACCUGGGCCGAUACUGACGCUGAGGUGCGAAAGCGUGGGGAGCAAACAGG